This 348-nucleotide long non-coding RNA is filed under the name Ictidomys tridecemlineatus (thirteen-lined ground squirrel). Its description in RNAcentral is "lncRNA (ENSSTOG00000029966.1)". Lineage: Eukaryota; Metazoa; Chordata; Mammalia; Rodentia; Sciuridae. The record is from RNAcentral.
CACAGGGGUUGCUGGCACUCUACUUCGUACAGGGAUUUUGUUCUUUGACCCAGGCUCUUGCCUGGAACUUUCUCUGCAGGUACUGGGGGCUCUGGGGCCUGAAGUCCAGCCACAGCCAGGAGCUGUUGUGAGCCUUGUCAGCAUCCCUCAUGAGACACGGGACAUUGAGGAUCGUGGAAGCAGAUCUUAAAUCAAAGCCUGAGCCAUCAAUCUCCAAGAACAGACUGAAAUAACAAGGUGGGUGGCGCAGACCGCCACCACACGGACAGCCGAAAGAUAUUAAAAAGUCAGGCUCUCAGACCCCCAGAUCCCUUAACAAAUUUCCAAGUACCUGGGGGAUCUGCAUGC